This 850-nucleotide long non-coding RNA is filed under the name Citrus maxima (pomelo). Its description in RNAcentral is "long non-coding RNA (CMAX_LNC002949)". Lineage: Eukaryota; Viridiplantae; Streptophyta; Magnoliopsida; Sapindales; Rutaceae. The record is from RNAcentral.
CCUUGCACUCUAUUUUAUUUAGAAUUUAAUAUAAGUAUUAAAAGGAAAAAUUAACCCUCAUAUUUGUUAAAAUUAAUAAAAUUCUAAACAUCUCUUAUUUAUUUUUUUUCUCGUUUCUUCUUCACUUCUCUUCACUUUCUCUCUGUGAUAAGCUUAAUGGUGGCUUCAAUUGUUGCUAAAUGUUGCUGACUAACGGUUGAUUUAAGGAUAAUCGCUUGUAGGUUUGGUUGUUUGUGUGAUGGUUCUUGUGGUGGAAAUUAUAUGCAUCAAAACAAAAAUCUUCAAUUUGAUAUGAGAAGCUGAAGCGAGAGCAAGAGAAAGCAAAAUGGCGAUGGCAAGGGUGAGCUCAAGCCUCGCUUAUCCAGAGUAAUUCUAUGUUGCGACUUUAUAUGUUGGCUUCGAUGGAUCUCCAGUUUCCUUUGCCUGUAGUGAUGUGGCUGACGUGAUGUUGUUUUGAGCGAGGAGAGAAAAGACUGAUGUAGGUCGAGGCUGUCGGUCGUGGUGCAGCUAUGCCAUCUUGUCGACGUGGAGCGGCAUGGUGGUACCUAGUGGCUGGUAGCUUCCCAACGUGGGUAUUUGGGUUGAGAGGAGACUAGAGAGAUGAAGCCAUGAGGGUUUGUUUUGAAUUUAAUUUUGGAUCGAUUUCGAUCAGAUGUGGCAUUUGUGAGUAUUUAGGAUUUUUUUUUUAUUUAAUGUUAGUUUUUUUAAAAUUAUAAGUUAUAAAUCGAUUGAUUUUGUAAUUAACCCGAAUCGAACACUCGUCCAUGGCUCAUAUCCUUUAAAAUUUUAACAUUGAUGAGUCAACUUUUUUUUUAUGAUAAGUAAUGGAAGAUCAGCCAUCGUAAUUCCU